GACGAACGCUGGCGGCGUGCCUAAUACAUGCAAGUAGAACGCUGACGCAGGAGCUUGCUUCUCUGGAUGAGUUGCGAACGGGUGAGUAACGCGUAGGUAACCUGCCUGGUAGCGGGGGAUAACUAUUGGAAACGAUAGCUAAUACCGCAUAAUAGUAGAUGUCGCAUGACAUUUGCUUGAAAGUUGCAAUUGCAUCACUACCAGAUGGCGCUGAGUUGUAUUAGCUAGUUGGUGAGGUAACGGCUCACCAAGGCAACGAUACAUAGCCGAGCUGAGAGGGGGGUUGGGCAAACUGGGACCGGAGAAAGGGUCAGGACUCCAAGGGAAGGAGCAGUAGGGGAACAUCGGCAAAGGACGGAAGGCUGAACGAGGAAAGACGGGGGGGGGAAGGAGGGUUUCGGGUCGGAAAGCUCUGUUGUUAGGGAAAAAAAAGUGGGAGAGUGGAAAGUUCACGCUGUGACGGUAUCUAACCAGAAAGCAACGGCUAACUACGUG
This 495-nucleotide ribosomal RNA is filed under the name uncultured bacterium. RNAcentral describes it as "partial 16S ribosomal RNA". It matches the Rfam family "Bacterial small subunit ribosomal RNA", at positions 28 to 507 of the family's 1533-position model. The record is from RNAcentral.